Molecule: long non-coding RNA, 830 nt
Organism: Cucumis melo (muskmelon)
Lineage: Eukaryota; Viridiplantae; Streptophyta; Magnoliopsida; Cucurbitales; Cucurbitaceae
Exons: 4
Source: RefSeq, a predicted model, not a curated record
AAAAGAGAAAAGGGAAGAAAAAACCCUAGCCGCCGCUCGCCGUCGCCGCCGCGUACCCGAGCCGCCCAAGCCCUCCUCCUUCUGUUCGUCAGCUCAGCCAGAUCGUUCGCAGCCGCCAGCCGUCGCGUGAAGCCUCGUCCUGCCGCGUCGUCGAGCAGCUCAGCCGAGUCGUUCGCAGCCGCCAGCCGUCGCGUGAAGCCGCGUCAUGCCGCGUCGCCGAGCAGCUCAGCCGGAUCGUGCACAGCCGCCAGCCGUCUCGUGAAGUCGCAUCCUGCCGAGUCGCCGAGCAGCAGCAGUCGACGGUCGUCAGCCGCGCGCCUCCAGCCGUCGAAGCCGACCCGCGCCCGCUCGCCUGAACCCAAAACCGCUCCACGCCCGCGCACGUUCGCUCCGAGUCGUAAGCCGAGCCCGCGCGCGCCCAUCCCACGCCACGAGCCGCACCUGUCUGCACCACGAGCCACGCCUGUCUAUGCCGCGAGUCGAGCCGAUCCCCAACCUUCAAGCCGAGCCGGUCCCUGCUCCUCCAGCCGAGCCGGCAAGCCUAGUUGGCUCUUUCCACCCAAUUUUUGGGGCGUCUUGGACCAAGUAACUGCUGCAGCAUGGGAUUUCUUCGGUAGGGGCUCAAGCAUUGCAACCUCUUUCUAGGUUAGGACCUCGUUGCUUGGAAAGCACACUUGUCUUGCAGUUAGGACUCGUCGAGGAAAUCUCCAGGUAGAGGCCGCGGUAAGGGCAAAGGCAAGCUGGCGAGCGACCAGAAGUGACCGUGGCGAGCCAUAGGGAUUUCUGCUUCCGCUUAUUCUUUCUUUUGACGUUAGUACCUGAGUUUUAGU